AACGCGAAGAACCUUACCUGGGCUUGACAUGCAUAUGCCAGUCGUAGAAAUACGAUCUUCCAGAUUUCGGUUUGGACGUGUGCACAGGUGCUGCAUGGCUGUCGUCAGCUCGUGUCGUGAGAUGUUGGGUUAAGUCCUUUAACGAGCGCAACCCCUACCAUCAGUUGCUACCUACGUAAGUAGAGCACUCUGAAGGGACUGCCUAGGAAACUAGGAGGAAGGUGGGGACGACGUCAAGUCAUCAUGGUCCUUAUGUCCAGGGCUACACACGUGUUACAAUGGCCGGUACAACGAGGCGCAAACUCGUAAGAGGGAGCAAAUCUUUCAAAGCCGGUCUAAGUUCGGAUUGAGGUCUGCAACUCGACCUCAUGAAGUUGAAAUCGCUAGUAAUCGCGUAUCAGAACGGCGCGGUGAAUACGUUCCCGGGCCUUGUACACACCGACUGUAC
RNAcentral lists this ribosomal RNA (448 nucleotides) under uncultured bacterium. Its description in RNAcentral is "bacterial SSU rRNA". It matches the Rfam family "Bacterial small subunit ribosomal RNA", at positions 958 to 1399 of the family's 1533-position model. The record is from RNAcentral.